Molecule: long non-coding RNA, 928 nt
Filed under: Cricetulus griseus (Chinese hamster)
Lineage: Eukaryota; Metazoa; Chordata; Mammalia; Rodentia; Cricetidae
Description: lncRNA (ENSCGRG00015029984.1)
Source: RNAcentral
AAAGAAAAGACCUACAUAGGGUCAGCAGGAUGAUUCAAUGGAUAGAGGUGCUUGUGGGUCAAGCUUGAUGACAUGAGCUCCAUUCCUGGGACGAACAUGUUGGAAGGGACAAACUGACUCCCAGCAAACUGUCCUCUGACUUCCAUAGCUACACCUUAGCAUGUGGGGUGUGUGUGUGUGUGUGUGUAUGAUACACAACAAAAUACACAGAUUUCUCUUUUCCAGGAAGGACAAAGGUGGCCACUUAAAGGCGUUCGGUCUAUAUCCACCUGGAGAUGGCAAAGGAGGGUUGAAUUUAACAUGGGGUUUAUUUGGGGUGGGGGUGGAGUUAUGACACCAGUAUUUUGAGUGUUACCAAACAGGAUCUUAUGCAAUUCAGGCUGGCCUCCAACUGAAUUUGUAGCCAGAAGUGGCCUUGGAUUCCUGAUCCUCUUGCCUCUACAUCCAGAGUGUUGGGAUGGCAGGUAUGCGCCACCAAGUCCUUUUUGUGCAGUGCUGGGGACAUGUUCUACCUACUGACUGAGCCACAUUCCCAGUCAGCCCCAAGGACAGUAUUCUUCAAGUGACAAAGGAGAGUCUCUCGGGGUGGUUUGUCAAUGUGAUAACAUGCAUCAGAAUUCCAUCUCUUUUCUGGAGGUGAAUAAUAUUCCACUUGAUAGACAUACCACAAUGUGUUUAUCCAGGUCUUCAUCAGUCACCUUUCACUGCUGAACCGUCCUCUGGCUCCCUGUUUCUGAGGAGUUGCCAGACUGUUAGUGCCAUGGACCACCCCAGCUGGGUAUGGGAGUCCCUAGGAUGGGGGUCCUCGAUGAAUAGCAUAGAGCCGGUUGUUGGUGGCGCACGCCUUUAAUCCAAGCACUUGGGAGGCAGAGGCAGGUGGAUCUCUGUGAGUUAGAGACCAGCCUGGUCUACAAGAGCUAGUUCCAGG